RNAcentral lists this ribosomal RNA (765 nucleotides) under uncultured Streptococcus sp. Its description in RNAcentral is "bacterial SSU rRNA". It matches the Rfam family "Bacterial small subunit ribosomal RNA", at positions 28 to 776 of the family's 1533-position model. Lineage: Bacteria; Bacillati; Bacillota; Bacilli; Lactobacillales; Streptococcaceae. The record is from RNAcentral.
GACGAACGCUGGCGGCGUGCCUAAUACAUGCAAGUAGAACGCUGAAGAGAGGAGCUUGCUCUUCUUGGAUGAGUUGCGAACGGGUGAGUAACGCGUAGGUAACCUGCCUUGUAGCGGGGGAUAACUAUUGGAAACGAUAGCUAAUACCGCAUAACAAUGGAUGACACAUGUCAUUUAUUUGAAAGGGGCAAUUGCUCCACUACAAGAUGGACCUGCGUUGUAUUAGCUAGUAGGUGAGGUAACGGCUCACCUAGGCGACGAUACAUAGCCGACCUGAGAGGGUGAUCGGCCACACUGGGACUGAGACACGGCCCAGACUCCUACGGGAGGCAGCAGUAGGGAAUCUUCGGCAAUGGGGGCAACCCUGACCGAGCAACGCCGCGUGAGUGAAGAAGGUUUUCGGAUCGUAAAGCUCUGUUGUAAGUCAAGAACGAGUGUGAGAGUGGAAAGUUCACACUGUGACGGUAGCUUACCAGAAAGGGACGGCUAACUACGUGCCAGCGGCCGCGGUAAUACGUAGGUCCCGAGCGUUGUCCGGAUUUAUUGGGCGUAAAGCGAGCGCAGGCGGUUUGAUAAGUCUGAAGUUAAAGGCUGUGGCUCAACCAUAGUUCGCUUUGGAAACUGUCAAACUUGAGUGCAGAAGGGGAGAGUGGAAUUCCAUGUGUAGCGGUGAAAUGCGUAGAUAUAUGGAGGAACACCGGUGGCGAAAGCGGCUCUCUGGUCUGUAACUGACGCUGAGGCUCGAAAGCGUGGGGAGCGAACAGG